UUUAAGUCCGCCCACAGGGAGUCGCUGUGGAUUCACACAAAAACACGUCCUCCAUCUUGGCUCAGACCUGUUGUCGGUGCACCUGAGUCCACCUGCCCGCCCCGCACUCACCCAGUGCUUCCUCUCACUUCAGAGACUAAUUGUGUGGGGAGGUAAACACAGCAGUCAAGUGGAGAGGACGGCGAGUCAAGCGUGAAUAUCAAUCUCCCCACAUCAGUGUCAUCAGAUGACUUUGACUAAGUUACGAUGGGCUCAUUAGAGUGGCGGAGCAGGGUGUCGGGUGGUAACAGCAUCCUGGUGGAGGUAUGGAAGCCUGCAGAGCUCACCAGCUAACAGGCAAUGUGGACAGCAACUAUUACUCACUGUUGCCGGUGCUGCAACUCUGUGCUCAGCUCUCCAGACUCUCCUGCCUGAACCUGCUGUCACAAAUCAUUUCAGGAAUCUGAUGAACUGUACCAACCUCAGAUUAACCUCCAACCCUGUCAUUCUCUUCCUGUAAACCCAGACCAUCACUGUAGAGACUAGAGGACCAAUCGCGCAUGAACAGAGAGAGCUACACUUCUACCCGUUCUCCCACACUAUAAAUGGUUUCCAGAAGAUCAGGCGUGAAGAGGAAGAAAGACAUCAGAUAACAAGGCGGCGGCGUAUGGAGGCGCGACGCAUGGCGUCACAUGGCCCCCGCGGCAACCGCCCGGGAACAAAGUGACGGGCUGUGGUGGAGCGCCGGGACAGAAUCAAGAGUUAAGAGCAUGGGGAGAGGUCAGAAGAAGACAGAUGUGAGAACAGGCUCCAUGACAAGAACCCCCAUCACAGCCCACUGAUGUCAGCGCUGCCUACCGUGUGUGAUUCAGGUCACUUCACACUGUAGGAGUGUGCUCUUGUACCUGAAGGCCAGCCCAGUUCUGUGGCCCCCGGGGUAUGAGCCCAGUUCUGACAGAAUUCAUCUCCGCUUCCUCGUCCCCCCUCCGUCCGUCUGCGCCCUUAGCCCCCGCCAGAGACUUCACCGUCACCCAGGCUCCACAGCCGGCUCUGCACCAGCCUUCCUGUCCUUUCCUAUAUUCCCCCCCCCCCAUCUCUUCUUCUCCCGCCCUUUCUCCAUCUGGCUCUUUCAAGUCUU
Molecule: long non-coding RNA, 1117 nt
Organism: Solea solea (common sole)
Lineage: Eukaryota; Metazoa; Chordata; Actinopteri; Pleuronectiformes; Soleidae
Exons: 7
Source: RefSeq, a predicted model, not a curated record